RNAcentral lists this unclassified non-coding RNA (636 nucleotides) under Hevea brasiliensis (rubber tree). The record is from RNAcentral. Lineage: Eukaryota; Viridiplantae; Streptophyta; Magnoliopsida; Malpighiales; Euphorbiaceae.
GAUCCCAAUGAUUGAUGAUGUUGAGUGUCCAUGUAGUGUUCUUUCAGAAGAGCCAGAGCCACAGCUGCUGGAGAUGGAUUAACUGGAAGCAGAGCUGGCAUCUGAACUACAAAACUUCCGUGGUCCAAUGCUGAAGGUUCUGGACACGGAGUUAGGCCAAAUAUGGGCAAGGUGAGCCUUUUCAAAUUCAUCUGAAUUCUUUUUUCUGUAGAUUUUCCUACCACUAGAAGUUGUGCCCUUCCUGUUUAUUCAUUUGUCUGCCCCUAUCUUUUAGAUUAAUGUGUUCUCAGUGUUAUAAAACUUUUACUUCAUCCCAGACAGAAGUUUUGUUUUCUUUAUUUUGAUUUUCUGAAUUUCACCUUAAUGUUUAGAGGCCAUUAAAAGAUUACAAACCUUCCCAUUUUAGGGGCAACCAAAUCUUUGUUUGAACCUGGUUAACAAGGAGUCAUUAUGGAAUGAAAAUGCGCAUCAGCCAUUGGUUGUGCUUCCAGUAAUGCUUGCUAGUUUUGACAAUUACUGUCAUGAAAAUUUUUGUUUGCAUUCAUGCAGCCUAUAUGCUUGGAACCUACAAGUCUAUAAUUAGGAAAUCAAAGAAAAUUGAAAUAAUAGUCCAACUUAAUGUUAUUUUGCUUAAAC